CCUACGGGAGGCAGCAGUGGGGAAUAUUGGACAAUGGGGGCAACCCUGAUCCAGCCAUGCCGCGUGUGUGAAGAAGGCCCUCGGGUUGUAAAGCACUUUCAGUGAGGAAGAACGCCUGGUGGUUAAUACCCAUCAGGAAAGACAUCACUCACAGAAGAAGCACCGGCUAACUCCGUGCCAGCAGCCGCGGUAAUACAGAGGGUGCGAGCGUUAAUCGGAAUUACUGGGCGUAAAGCGCGCGUAGGUGGCUUGAUAAGCCGGUUGUGAAAGCCCCGGGCUCAACCUGGGAACGGCAUCCGGAACUGUCAAGCUAGAGUGCAGGAGAGGAAGGUAGAAUUCCCGGUGUAGCGGUGAAAUGCGUAGAGAUCGGGAGGAAUACCAGUGGCGAAGGCGGCCUUCUGGACUGACACUGACACUGAGGUGCGAAAGCGUGGGUAGCAAACAGGAUUAGAUACCCGAGUAGUC
Molecule: ribosomal RNA, 465 nt
Filed under: Vreelandella stevensii
Lineage: Bacteria; Pseudomonadati; Pseudomonadota; Gammaproteobacteria; Oceanospirillales; Halomonadaceae
Description: partial 16S ribosomal RNA
Rfam family: Bacterial small subunit ribosomal RNA
Source: RNAcentral